Molecule: non-coding RNA, 21 nt
Filed under: Caenorhabditis elegans
Lineage: Eukaryota; Metazoa; Nematoda; Chromadorea; Rhabditida; Rhabditidae
Source: RNAcentral
UGAUGUGUUUUUUUGGAACUU